GCUCCCGUGGCCUAAUGGAUAAGGCGUUGGUCUCCUAGAUUAGCUGUCACAAAGCGGAGUGAACCAACGAUGGGGGUUCAAGUCCCCCCGGGAGCC
RNAcentral lists this transfer RNA (96 nucleotides) under Anisakis simplex (herring worm). It matches the Rfam family "tRNA". Rfam says of the family: Transfer RNA (tRNA) molecules are approximately 80 nucleotides in length. Their secondary structure includes four short double-helical elements and three loops (D, anti-codon, and T loops). Further hydrogen bonds mediate the characteristic L-shaped molecular structure. tRNAs have two regions of fundamental functional importance: the anti-codon, which is responsible for specific mRNA codon recognition, and the 3' end, to which the tRNAs corresponding amino acid is attached (by aminoacyl-tRNA synthetases). tRNAs cope with the degeneracy of the genetic code in two manners: having more than one tRNA (with a specific anti-codon) for a particular amino acid; and 'wobble' base-pairing, i.e. permitting non-standard base-pairing at the 3rd anti-codon position. The record is from Rfam by way of RNAcentral. Lineage: Eukaryota; Metazoa; Nematoda; Chromadorea; Rhabditida; Anisakidae.